GAUGAACGCUGGCGGCGUGCCUAAUACAUGCAAGUCGAGCGAACAGACGAGGAGCUUGCUCCUCUGACGUUAGCGGCGGACGGGUGAGUAACACGUGGAUAACCUACCUAUAAGACUGGGAUAACUUCGGGAAACCGGAUCUAAUACCGGAUAAUAUAUUGAACCGCAUGGUUCAAUAGUGAAAGACGGUUUUGCUGUCACUUAUAGAUGGAUCCGCGCCGCAUUAGCUAGUUGGUAAGGUAACGGCUUACCAAGGCAACGAUGCGUAGCCGACCUGAGAGGGUGAUCGGCCACACUGGAACUGAGACACGGUCCAGACUCCUACGGGAGGCAGCAGUAGGGAAUCUUCCGCAAUGGGCGAAAGCCUGACGGAGCAACGCCGCGUGAGUGAUGAAGGUCUUCGGAUCGUAGAACUCUGUUAUUAGGGAAGAACAAAUGUGUAAGUAACUAUGCACGUCUUGACGGUACCUAAUCAGAAAGCCACGGCUAACUACGUG
RNAcentral lists this ribosomal RNA (497 nucleotides) under uncultured bacterium. RNAcentral's name for it is "partial 16S ribosomal RNA". It matches the Rfam family "Bacterial small subunit ribosomal RNA", at positions 28 to 507 of the family's 1533-position model. The record is from RNAcentral.